This is a long non-coding RNA of Monodelphis domestica (gray short-tailed opossum), 476 nucleotides long. The record is from Ensembl. NCBI's taxonomy places the organism in Eukaryota, Metazoa, Chordata, Mammalia, Didelphimorphia, Didelphidae.
AGUCUUCAAGUAAAGGCCAGAUGACUACUUACAGACUAUGAUGUAAACAUAUUUUUUAUUAUUCUUAUCAGAUAUAGAUUGGACUGGAUGGCAUCAAAGAUAUCUUCCAACUCUGAAGUCUUAUGAUUCUGAUUCUAAACAGCUGGAGCAAAGUUGAAGAGGCAGGAUUAGAGAGAAAAAUGCCAAAACGUCUCUUCAAGAUAUUUUUGCUGUCACCUAUUACAAAUAUCCAUUGUCACUGGUUUAUCACUAUCAUAUUAAGGGGCUACAAUCAACUUUACUUGUUCUCAGAUCCAGAUGGCUGCCAGGAGAGUUUCAAGCAAAUGAACUAUGCAUCAGAUUCUCAUUGGUUUCACAUAUGAUCAAGAAACCACUACUUCUCAGUGCCUCUAGGACAGGGAUUCUUAACUUUGGAUGUGUGGACCUCCAAGGAAUCUAUGAAUAAAUUUCAGGGGGUCUGUGAACUUGGAUGGGGA